CCUACGGAGGGCAGCAGUGAGGAAUAUUGGUCAAUGGGCGGAAGCCUGAACCAGCCAAGUAGCGUGCAGGAUGACGGCCCUACGGGUUGUAAACUGCUUUUAUACGGGAAUAACGCGCCUUACGUGUAGGGCUUUGCAUGUACCGUAUGAAUAAGGACCGGCUAAUUCCGUGCCAGCAGCCGCGGUAAUACGGAAGGUCCGGGCGUUAUCCGGAUUUAUUGGGUUUAAAGGGAGCGUAGGCCGCAUGUCAAGCGUGCUGUGAAAUGUCCGGGCUCAACCCGGGCCUUGCAGCGCGAACUGGCGUGCUUGAGUCCGCGGAAAGCAGGCGGAAUUCGUCGUGUAGCGGUGAAAUGCUUAGAUAUGACGAAGAACCCCGAUUGCGAAGGCAGCUUGCUGCAGCGGAACUGACGCUGAUGCUCGAAAGCGCGGGUAUCGAACAGGAUUACAUACCCUAGUAGUC
Molecule: ribosomal RNA, 460 nt
Filed under: uncultured bacterium
Lineage: Bacteria
Description: partial 16S ribosomal RNA
Rfam family: Bacterial small subunit ribosomal RNA
Source: RNAcentral